Molecule: long non-coding RNA, 1161 nt
Organism: Hipposideros armiger (great roundleaf bat)
Lineage: Eukaryota; Metazoa; Chordata; Mammalia; Chiroptera; Hipposideridae
Exons: 3
Source: RefSeq, a predicted model, not a curated record
UUCAUUGCUGCUGCAGGGGAGACGCUUUCUCCCUUCUCCCGUGGUCCCGUGGGGCACCAUGCUGUGGCCCCAGCCUGAGGCAGGAAGGGCAUUUGACCCACCUGCACAGCUAGGGGAAGGAGGGCUCUUUGGCCUUUCCACUAUUCUCUCUGACUGGCGGGAGAUGCACCAACCGCGGGGCUUCCAGAAUCCGGGGAGCCCCAAAGGCAGUGGGGAGAUGAUGACAGAGGAUGGAGAAGGCCAACCUGCGUCUUAACCUCGUCAGCCUAGGGACAACACACGUCACUACAGCUCAUAUUCCACUGACAUGAGCCAGUCACUUAGAACCACCUGGGUGACAAGGGAAGAUGGCGUUGAGAGAGUUCCUGCUUCCGCUCUGUGGAGACUGCACCGACGCAGAGGUAGAAGCAGCGAGGACUGUCAGGAGGCGACGGUGGCUCCCAGCAGCCGAUGGUGUCUCUAGUGGGCAGGAGCACUCGGGCUGGUGGGAAGUGGCCAGAGUGUGGGUGUGUUUUGCCAGUUGAGUCCACGGGGCUACCGGGUAAAUUAUUGAAGCCUGACAUAGAGGAGCCAAGGAUGGAGUUGUCGAAACUGAAAUGAGGGAGCUCGUGGGUGCGGCAGGUUCGGGGGAGGAGUGGGGAGACUGAGGCUCCUCUUCGGACCUGCUGAACGGGAGAUAACUACUGACAGACAAGCUGUUGAGUCGAGAAGCCCGAGGGUGCUUUCCGGGUGUGUACAGUGUCUUGUACAGGUUCGGCUCUGCCAGCAGGCUGGUGCUCAGCAGCUACGCCAGGGGAAAGGUGGUGACUGUCCCCGUUUGUAAAGCCAUCUAGCUCCUUCACUCUUCAGUCAGCAGAGGGGACAAGGGACGUGGGUAUUGCGCACAGGGCGUGAGCAUCCCUUCCGCCUUUGGAGAGAGGCUUAUACACAGGAUGUGCGAUGACCUUGUAAGGGACAGUUUCCCUCUGCGGGACUUAAAUUCACAUGGAGGUGUUGACCGACCAGCUGAAUACCAUGGUUCGGGCCUCACGGAUCUCAGUUUGCCUGGCUCUUUAUAUUUGGGUAGGCUAGCAUAAUAGCCUGCUCAAAGAGAAAUAUUAAGGGGAAACUGAUGUAUAACCUUGUCAUGCUAAUUACAAAGACAUAUUUUUUAUUUGUUGU